AGCUGCUCUUGCACACGGUUUCGUGGGCUGGAUUUUCUCUGUUGCACACAUGCUUAGUAUCUGUCUCUCCCUUUGUUCCUGAGUGGUGGGCCGCACAUGAGGCUCUGAGCAGGCUAUAUCUCUAUUCUGGCAAUAAAAGUACUCUGGACACUGUUAAGGUGAGAAAAGAAAAGAAAUCGGGGCUCCCAGGAGGAGAAUCCUGAACCACGGGCUCUGCGGUGAUGUGGCCUUCCUCUUUAGUUUUUGUGCCUUUUAUGUGGGCAGAGGGAAAAAGAGACAGCCAGCAGUGAUCAUUAAUCCUGAAAAUGCCGAGGGCUUUGGCCUGGGACCCACACCAAGACAGAGUCAAACCGAGUUCUUCUAGUGUUGAGCGUGUUUCACAUCUUCCGUUGGAGUUUGCUGUGGAUGCUCAUUAGACAGACAUGGGCAGAAUCCCACUUGUUCCUCGUCCUUUUCCACCUCACCUCCAUCAUUGUGGCUGAAAUACACGAUCAUGGGUGUAUCUUUCCUUGUGGAUUUGUUGCCUCUAGGAGUUCUGUAUGCAGCUGAAGGGUAACAUCCCUUGGGAGCUUUUGCCUUGUCUGGCUGACGCCUUGGCAAUCGCAAGUGACAGUGACGGAGAGCCACCUCCUCUGGAAUGCAUCAUGGAACAGAAAGGGAAAAGCCAGGCAUUUGUAGUCCUCCUGCCACAGAUGACCAGAAUGACCUCACCCAGGACAAACGGCGACAGAUUUAGGAAUUCAAGCCAGCUUUUCUGACUCCCAGGCACCUGCUCUCUCCUUUCGAGUGUUCGACUCCACUCUCAGUCACUCGUCACUCUUCCCAGAAGGACAAAUGUGCAGCUUCUAUGUCUUGGAUUUCAAAUAAAAGACGAGGAACUUGGUGAAAUGA
Long non-coding RNA from Homo sapiens (human), 891 nucleotides. RefSeq annotates it as IL2RA antisense RNA 1. The record is from RefSeq and is a predicted model, not a curated record. Lineage: Eukaryota; Metazoa; Chordata; Mammalia; Primates; Hominidae. The transcript has 2 exons.